GCCUGGAGAACUGUAGAGGCCUCUACCCAGAGAUAGUUCUCUUUAAGCACAAGCCCCAAGCAAGCACACUCCCUUGACUGAGGCACACGUCCUUGCGGGGAGGUGGUGACACUAAACUGGUUCUGAGUGGGUCUUUUAGAACUCUAGAAUCGCAGGUAAAUUGUGAUUUUAAAUGGGUGAAAAUGAGCAGGUGUGUGGGGAGGGGUUUGGGGCUUGGGAGUGGGGCAGGAGAGUGUUGCUUUGUAGUCAGGCUUAGUGGAAGCUGGAAAUUUGAAUUAGUGAAGAAAAGGACAAAAAACUAAGAUGGUGGGGAACCAGCUGCUGUAGAGUAAGCAGCGGGAGUGCUGGAGUAUGCUGGAAUCUGGCUGGACAGCCCGCCCUGCCACGCCAGCCCUGCCACGGUUGUUGCUGCGUUGGGGAGGUGGGCUAUUUACAGUAUUUUCAGUCAGCGGCUGCCGCUGGACAUUUGAAGUACUGUUCACGACUGUAUUUUAAGGCCCUCCAGAGUGUGGACACUUAUUGCUAUGCUGCUGAAAGCUCUAAUCAUCAUACCGGAAGGACGCCCACUGAUGCCUUUCUUUCCUUGGAGUGGACGUAUUAGUGUGUUUGAGGCCAUGAUGUGGAAAGGCACAUUAUCUGUUGUAACCAAAUAAAGCGAAUGUAAUCAUAGUUUCCUGGAAAAAAACACAAGUGCUUUAAGGAGACCCAGACCUGUGUCAUGAGGAUCUAAUGGUGAUGGGCAUCUGCUUGACAUGGGAGACAGGCUGGGGCAGAAGAGUUAAAGUUGAGGUAUUUUGAAAACCCUCAUGGGCAGAGUGACCAAAAGAAGGGAAUAGACCUCAAGGUCCUGAAGAGUUAACAAGAACACACGUGAAACAGUACAGUGCGUGGCCACACGCCACGUGCAGAGAGGCAGGCUGGAGUCCUGCCUGAGCUUCAGGCCUAGCCCUACCUCCUCCAACAAGCCUUCACCGUUCUUUAACUCAGGCUCUUCCUCUCAAGUGGGAGCUAACGCUUGCCCGCCCUACCCACUUUGUGAGAGAUACCUGAGGAUGAGGUGGACAUGCAUUGCUCGUAAGAAGUUGUGGUGCAGUGGGAGGCGUGACUCCUCCUGCAGGGCACAGUGGGAAUGAACCAGCCGCCCACCUUUGUCCGUCACUUAACCUAAUCCUGCUGUAGACAAAUAAAGUUUGACUUGUGUGUA
This 1204-nucleotide long non-coding RNA is filed under the name Rattus norvegicus (Norway rat). RNAcentral's name for it is "long non-coding RNA NONRATT012630". The record is from RNAcentral. Lineage: Eukaryota; Metazoa; Chordata; Mammalia; Rodentia; Muridae.